This 256-nucleotide ribosomal RNA is filed under the name uncultured bacterium. RNAcentral describes it as "partial 16S ribosomal RNA". The record is from RNAcentral.
CUGCUGCCUUCCGUAGGAGUUUGGGCCGUGUCUCAGUCCCAAUGUGGCCGUUCACCCUCUCAGGCCGGCUACUGAUCGUCGCCUUGGUGGGCUGUUACCCCGCCAACAAGCUAAUCAGACGCGGAUCCAUCGUAUACCACCGGAGUUUUUCACACCGUCUCAUGCGAGACUGUGCGCUUAUGCGGUAUUAGCACCUAUUUCUAAGUGUUAUCCCCCAGUAUACGGCAGGUUAUCCACGCGUUACUCACCCGUCCCG